AUUGAACGCUGGCGGCAGGCCUAACACAUGCAAGUCGAGCGAGCGGCGGACGGGUGAGUAAUGUAUGGGGACUGCCCGAUAGAGGGGGAUAACUACUGGAAACGGUGGCUAAUACCGCAUACUAUCGGAUAACCCAUAUGGGAUUAGCUAGUAGGUGGGGUAAAGGCUCCCCUAGGCGACGAUCUCUAGCUGGUCUGAGAGGAUGAAAAGCCAGACUGGGAAUCAGACACGGCCCAGACUCCUACGGAGGCAGCAGUGGGGAAUUUUGAACAAUGGGCGCAAGCCGGAUGCAGCCAUGCCGCGUGUAUACAGAAGGCCUUAUGGUUGUAAAGUACUUUCAGCCGGGAGGCGUUACCCGCAGAAGAAGCACCGGCUAACACCGUGCCAGCAGCCGCGGUAAUAC
Molecule: ribosomal RNA, 403 nt
Filed under: uncultured bacterium
Lineage: Bacteria
Description: partial 16S ribosomal RNA
Rfam family: Bacterial small subunit ribosomal RNA
Source: RNAcentral